RNAcentral lists this ribosomal RNA (251 nucleotides) under Bacillus velezensis. Its description in RNAcentral is "partial 16S ribosomal RNA". It matches the Rfam family "Bacterial small subunit ribosomal RNA", at positions 884 to 1139 of the family's 1533-position model. Lineage: Bacteria; Bacillati; Bacillota; Bacilli; Caryophanales; Bacillaceae. The record is from RNAcentral.
GGUCGCAAGACUGAAACUCAAAGGAAUUGACGGGGGCCCGCACAAGCGGUGGAAGCAUGUGGUUUAAUUCGAAGCAACGCGAAGAACCUUACCAGGUCUUGACAUCCUCUGACAAUCCUAGAGAUAGGACGUCCCCUUCGGGGGCAGAGUGACAGGUGGUGCAUGGUUGUCGUCAGCUCGUGUCGUGAGAUGUUGGGUUAAGUCCCGCAACGAGCGCAACCCUUGAUCUGAGUUGCCAGCUCAGUGGGCCU